RNAcentral lists this ribosomal RNA (1764 nucleotides) under Nematoda environmental sample. RNAcentral describes it as "SSU rRNA". It matches the Rfam family "Eukaryotic small subunit ribosomal RNA". Lineage: Eukaryota; Metazoa; Nematoda. The record is from RNAcentral.
UUCCGGUUGAUCCUGCCAGUGGUCAUAUGCUUGUCUCAAAGAUUAAGCCAUGCAUGUCUAAGCACAGCUGGUGACAGUGAAGCCGCGAAUAGCUCAUUACAACAGCCGUUGUUUCUUGGAUCUACUCUCUACUUGGAUAACUGUGGUAAUUCUAGAGCUAAUACAUGCAUCCAGACCCGACGCAAGGACGGUCGCAUUUAUUAGGACAAAACCAUCCGGUCCCCGGACCGUACUUUGGUGACUCUGAAUAACUGAGCAGAUCACACGGUCUCGCACCGGUGACGUAUCUUUCAAGUGUCUGCCUUAUCAACUUUCGAUGGUAGUUUAUGUGCCUACCAUGGUUGUAACGGGUAACGGAGAAUCAGGGUUUGACUCCGGAGAGGGAGCCUGAGAAACGGCUACCACUUCUAAGGAAGGCAGCAGGCGCGCAAAUUACCCAUUCUCGGUACGAGGAGGUAGUGACGAAAAAUACCAAGCCGAGGCUCAUUGAGUUUCGGCAUUGGAAUGAAAACAAUCCAAAUCUUUUAACGAGGAUCUAGUGGAGGGCAAGUCCGGUGCCAGCAGCCGCGGUAAUUCCAGCUCCGCAAGUGUAUAUCUAUUUUGCUGAGUUUAAAAAGCUCGUAGUUGGAUCUGCGUGUUCAGCAUCUGGUGCGGUCUCUGGCCGCCACCGGAAUGCGACACAUCGAAUGCCGGUGUGCCGUCGAUGCUCUUCAUCGGGUGUCGGCGGUGGCUGGCGAGUUUACUUUGAACAAAUUAGAGUGCUCAACGCAGGCGUUUCGCUUGUAUAUUUCUGCAUGGAAUAAUAGAAUAGGACCUCGGUUCUAUUUUGUUGGUUUUCGGAAGUGAGGUAAUGAUUAAGAGGGACUGACGGGGGCAUUCGUACUGCGACGUGAGAGGUGAAAUUCUUGGACCGUCGCAAGACGCACUACUGCGAAGGCAUUUGCCAAGAAUGUUUUCAUUAAUCAAGAACGAAAGUAACGGGUUCGAAGGCGAUCAGAUACCGCCCUAGUCGUUACCGUAAACAAUAUUGACUGGGAGCAUGUCGGCGUUUCCAAGAACCCGAUAUGAACCCAACGGGAAACCUCAAGUUCAAUUACUGGGGGAGUACGAUUGCAAAUUCGAAACUUAAAGGAAUUGACGGAAGGGCACCACCAGGGGUGGAGCCUGCGGCUUAAUUUGACUCAACACGGGGAAACUCACCCGGCCCGGACACCGGAAGGAUUGACAGAUUGAGAGCUCUUUCUUGAUUCGGUGGGUGGUGGUGCAUGGCCGUUCUUAGUUGGUGGAGUGAUUUGUCUGGUUAAUUCCGAUAACGAACGAGACUCUGGCCUACUAAUAGUCGUCGGAUCGCUUCAGUCCGACUGACUUCUUAGAGGGACAAGCAGUGCUUAGCUGCAUGAAAAAGAGCAAUAACAGGUCUGUGAUGCCCUUAGAUGUCCGGGGCUGCACGCGCGCUACACUGAAGGAAUCAGCGUGUGGGUUUGCCUGGCUCGAAAGAGCUGGGUAAUCCGGUGAAAAUCCUUCGUGAUUGGGAUCGGGACUUGCAAUUAUUUCCCUUGAACGAGGAAUCCCUAGUAAGUACGGGUCAUCAGCUCGUGCUGAUUACGUCCCUGCCCUUUGUACACACCGCCCGUCGCUGCCCGGAACUGAGCCAUUUCGAGAAAAAUGGGGACUGACGGCUUGAGGCCUUCACGGGCUUCUUGCUGACGGAAACCGCUUUAAUCGCAGUGGCUUGAACCGGGCAAAAGUCGUAACAAGGUAGCC